Molecule: ribosomal RNA, 282 nt
Filed under: uncultured bacterium
Lineage: Bacteria
Description: partial 16S ribosomal RNA
Rfam family: Bacterial small subunit ribosomal RNA
Source: RNAcentral
GUGGAUUAGAUACCCUGGUAGUCCACACGGUAAACGAUGAAUACUCGCUGUUGGCGAUAUAGUGUCAGCGGCCAAGCGAAAGCAUUAAGUAUUCCACCUGGGGAGUACGCCGGCAACGGUGAAACUCAAAGGAAUUGACGGGGGCCCGCACAAGCGGAGGAACAUGUGGUUUAAUUCGAUGAUACGCGAGGAACCUUACCCGGGCUUAAAUUGCAGAGGACAGGCCGAGAGAUCGGCUCUUCUUCGGACCUCUGUGAAGGUGCUGCAUGGCCGUCGUCAACU